GGUCUGCAUGGCUGACCCCACCACCACCCUGGAGAUGGAGACAGGAGGCUGGGAUGGGGAUGGAGGUCCCUAGUCUUCCUGAGGCCUUUCUGUGAACACAGGGCUGUGCCUGGCAGUGCCUGUUGCAUGCUUGUUAUUCCUUUAAGAUUUUUUCUGGAGUCUGGAAAAAGGACCCCUUCUUGCUCUCAGAAACAAACAUUGCCCAAUUAGAUGUUUGCCCCUGCUACAGGAGUUUCUUUCCCUGUUUUUACCAUGGAGACAAGCUCUUUGGUCCUGCUUCCCCCUGAGAAUCAGUACAUUUAGCAAAGUGAAGGCUCACUGCAGGAGCAGCCCCUGGAGCAGGAGGAGGGAGACGGGGAGGAAGGUGAGACAGGAGAAAAAAAGAGAGGAAGGAAAUACAGAGAGCAAGCUGGAGAAGAAGGAAAGGCCAGUGCCCACUCCAUUGGCAGAGGAGCACCCAGGCUGGAACUGGUGGCAGAAGCUGGCCUGCAGGAGAGAUCUGGAUGUAGGACUCUCAGCAACUUCUCCAGCACCAUGUCUGCCUGCAUGCCGCCAUGCUUCCUGCCAUGAUGACAAUGGACUAAAUGUUGGGAUCCGUAAGCAGGCACUUCUAUGGCCAGCCCCAAGGGACCUGAUAGAGCAGUUAUCAGGCAUUUGUGAAGACACCCUGACGACCUGAAAUUACCUGCGAAUGCCCUGGGUCACCCUAUAAGAGAACUGGAGCCCUCCCCUCCCUCUCUCUCCUCUUCUUCUUCCGCUCUCUGACUCUUCCUUUCUCUCUUCCUCUCUCUGUAACCCCCUUCCCCUAAUAAACCUCCCACGUGAAACCGAUCUCGUGGUGUGAUUUGUGGACCCGAGUGUAACCUCCACAGGCACACGCUUCCUAACAUUCCUGCUUUGGUCCUAACACUAAACCUCUGAAACUGUAAGUCAGUCCCCAUUAAAUGUUUCCCUUUAUAAGAGUUUCCAUGGUCAUGUUGUCUCU
Molecule: long non-coding RNA, 985 nt
Organism: Meriones unguiculatus (Mongolian gerbil)
Lineage: Eukaryota; Metazoa; Chordata; Mammalia; Rodentia; Muridae
Exons: 3
Source: RefSeq, a predicted model, not a curated record